AGCACAAGAUCAAAUGCAAAUAUCACUUCUUUUAUUUUUCUUUCAUUAUUACUUUCUUUCCAAAAUUUUAAGCAAUGAACAAAUCAAGAAGAUGCUUCACAUUGUUGUUUAUCCUCCUCUCACAUCGAAUCCGGCCGGUAAUCGGCGAAAGUGAGCAGCAGAAGACCACUAAGGAAGACAAACCAUCUCCCUUCCAGUUCGUAUCGAACACCAUGUCUUGUGAAGAAAGCACAUAAAAUUCUGUCGAGAAAAUCAAAACCAUCGUCCAUGAUUUCCGGUUGCAGUUCACUUCACCCAAGCCAGGGGAAGAAGCAGUGAUGAAAAACGUCGAAACUAAAAAUGGAAAUGUCGAAGAAACUGUGAAACCUGCGGCAAAAACUGAGCCAAAGACAGCUAAACCUGCAGCAGAAACCGAGCAGAAGACGGCUAAACCUGCAGCAGAAACUGAGAAGAAGACGGCAGAGAAGGUUGAAGAGGCUUCCUCUGAUAAAAAAGAAUCCCGUGAUGAGCUUUAAACAAAACCCAUAAAUCGUAUCAGUAGAGUUAUUUGUUGUUUCAUGUUUGUAAGUCGGUUUUUUUUGUUAUAAAUUUAUGAUCUUUU
Molecule: long non-coding RNA, 601 nt
Organism: Hibiscus syriacus
Lineage: Eukaryota; Viridiplantae; Streptophyta; Magnoliopsida; Malvales; Malvaceae
Exons: 2
Source: RefSeq, a predicted model, not a curated record